GUGGGGAAUAUUGGACAAUGGGCGAAAGCCUGAUCCAGCCAUGCCGCGUGUGUGAAGAAGGUCUUCGGAUUGUAAAGCACUUUAAGUUGGGAGGAAGGGCAGUAAGUUAAUACCUUGCUGUUUUGACGUUACCAACAGAAUAAGCACCGGCUAACUUCGUGCCAGCAGCCGCGGUAAUACGAAGGGUGCAAGCGUUAAUCGGAAUUACUGGGCGUAAAGCGCGCGUAGGUGGUUCAGCAAGUUGAAGGUGAAAUCCCCGGGCUCAACCUGGGAACUGCCUCCAAAACUACUGAGAUAGAGUACGGGAGAGGGUAGUGGAAUUUCCUGUGUAGCGGUGAAAUGCGUAGAUAUAGGAAGGAACACCAGUGGCGAAGGCGACUACCUGGACUGAUACUGACACUGAGGUGCGAAAGCGUGGGGAGCAAACAGGAUUAGAAACCCGUGUAGUCC
RNAcentral lists this ribosomal RNA (450 nucleotides) under uncultured bacterium. Its description in RNAcentral is "bacterial SSU rRNA". It matches the Rfam family "Bacterial small subunit ribosomal RNA", at positions 354 to 796 of the family's 1533-position model. The record is from RNAcentral.